RNAcentral lists this transfer RNA (70 nucleotides) under Ictidomys tridecemlineatus (thirteen-lined ground squirrel). RNAcentral's name for it is "Spermophilus tridecemlineatus (thirteen-lined ground squirrel) tRNA". It matches the Rfam family "tRNA". From Rfam's summary of the family: Transfer RNA (tRNA) molecules are approximately 80 nucleotides in length. Lineage: Eukaryota; Metazoa; Chordata; Mammalia; Rodentia; Sciuridae. The record is from Rfam by way of RNAcentral.
GGAGUUGUGGCUCAGUGGUAGAGCACUUGCCUAGCAUGUGUGGAGGCCCUGGGUUCAAUUCUCAGCACCA